Non-coding RNA from Oryzias latipes (Japanese medaka), 2731 nucleotides. The record is from RefSeq and is a predicted model, not a curated record. Lineage: Eukaryota; Metazoa; Chordata; Actinopteri; Beloniformes; Adrianichthyidae.
UGCUGUAUAACCCUUUGACUGUGAGAAUGAAUGAUCUGAAAUCUUCUGUCUGCCUCUGUAGGGAGUUGUCCAUGCAUGGAUGAAUGCACGAUGCCCUGCCAGCACAGGCAGCUGUAGAGGGGCAGCUCAGCAGCAGAUGUGGAGGCGAAUCAGUGCUCAAACACCACACCCACCUUUAACUGCAACCGCACAGUGCAGGAGACGACAGUGUGAAAGGUAAUGAAGGUGACUUCAGGCAGAAAAAUGAUGCUGGAAGAGCGAUAUUUGGUUUCUGGAUGAGAGUCAAUGUUUUUCAUUGGAGUCUAAGUGCUGAGUCAGACAGGAAAUGCCAGAUACUCCCAGCCUCGUGUUGACGUUCUUCAUCUCGUAAAUCCAAAAGUCUGCUCCUCCAGUUCUCCUGAUGGUGACAUUUACUCUCCUCCAGGUUGUGCUGUAUAAUUAUGACUAUUUCAUUUUCAUUGCUUUUUGUCGUUAUUUGACCCUUCUGUCUGGAUCUUUGUCACAAUUAGCUUCAGCAACAUUUCUUUGUUUUCACAUUAGUGAUGAAGAGUUGCUGAUCAUCCUCUUUCAGCGAGUAUCUACUGGAAAAAAAAAAUAAGUAUUUAACCUGCAAAACUCUACAUGAAUGUCUCUCUUGUCAUAUGAUCCAAAAAGUUUAUGUGAAAGACCCUCAAAUGAGUUUUUUUCAGCGAUAGGCAGACAUGUGCAGAGAUUGAAGAAAUAACACGACUGGAUUAAAAGUUAAUGGAACACAUUUUCACAAAUCUGACUUGAAAUAAGAGAUUUGAUUACAAAAUGUCUGUUAUAACCAUCAACAUAGACAUAAACCCACUCAUAGUAAAAGUAUACAGCUGUGUGUAUAACUAAACAUACACUACUGCCUACAGAAUAAUAACACUUCUAGUGUUAUAUGUGAAGCUAAAGAUGAGCCUAACUCCAAAUUUCAUCCUCAAGCAAAUGGAAUAGAGGCUUCUAGGCUGAUGUAGGUUCCCAUUCUCAAGGGGAUGUUGUCUUGAAGUGAGGUUGAGAUGCGAGAUGAUAUAAUUCAUCUUCAAGACAUCUAAUUACUAGAGUUUAAUUAUUUACAAUGAAGUUUACAUUGAGCUCUUUUCAUUAAAGAAAUACUUGUAGAUAUUUGUGAGGAAACCAGGAGGAAACUUUUAGUAGAACAUCAGCAAAUAAAAAAGCUUUGGAUUUAGAACAAAGCAGUGUUUGAGGGGGUAGCAGUGAGACUGAACCCUGUUGGGUUCCGUUUCAGAAGCAAAACCCAGAAUAAUCCAAAAAAACCCCACAUAUUUCUUUGUUGUUGUUUUGUGGUUUUUUGCAGCUGCAAAAAAGGCAAAGGCUAUGCAAAACUAUAGCCUGAAAGAUUUAACUCACAAAAUAAAUAAAACGUUUGAAACAUGAGAAGUUUAAAACAUAAGCAUAUGAGAUGGGUUGCUAUGUUUUUAAUUUUCAUUUAAAUUUCUUUUUACCUCAUUUUAACCCUUUAACUCCAGCGCCGACGCCAGCGAGGAAAAACAAUAUGAUCUUUAAGCAACAAUCUUGUUUAUGUAAUAAACCUAAUAUGAACUUAUUGGUACCAGUAACAGUAACUUUCUGGCAGUGAAGUGUUGCAUAUCAGUUCAACCUUCUUUCUUCAGCUUUCAGAGUCUGUUGGAAUUCAUGUAAUUGUGCAAACAGUUGAAGAAUUACGGUAAUUUAAAAAAGGUUGUUAUUUUCUGCUGCCAUUGACUGCAUCUCCAAUCGGUGAUGUACCUUUGUCACAAUAUAAAUAAUUUAAAUAUUCCAAAUUCAAACAAACAUUUUAGACCUGAACAAUCAAACUUCAUGUCAGCUUCAGACGAAAAUCCUGAAAGAAAAGAGCAAACAAAGACAGAUGUUGGAUCUUCAACUGCUGCAAAUUUGUGUUUAAACAGUGCGUUUAUGUUUUGUGAGCAGUUGGCCGUUCUGCAGAUGCGCCUGUCCUUUGGAUUCAAUGCGUAAUCAUUGGUUUUUGUUUUAUUCUUUGUGAGAGAUGGAGGCGCACUCCAGGUCAUUAGAGACUGCUUCAGUGGGGGCCCAUCGUUACGCCAACGCCUAGAAUACCUGCAUUCAUGCUCACGAGCAUAAACAGAACUUCUGAUUGGUAUGUACAGAAAUAAUCUCCACAAUAUGGACCAAGUUCUGCUCAACUAAGUGAAAGGAGGCCUCUCAGCGUUUAGUGUUUACACCCAGGACCCGGCUCUCAUGAAACAGGAUACAUGAUGUCAGAAGAAACACUCUCAUAACCGGAGGUCCUCAAACUCAGCCAUGUCCUUGUUUUGUUUGCAGUACAGGGAAGGAGAAUUUACUCUAAAAUAACUUCAAAGGAACAAGGGGAGGAGCCAUAGCAAGGAUUAGGACCAUCGCAAGUGUCUUAAAGUUGAAUCAACUUGAACAUGUCACCUGGAGGAAGGAGAACCUUCACCAGGAUCUUACCUCCAGUGCACGUGCACGCUCACGCGGAGAGCCUCUGAUGCACGCUGAACAAACUGCAGCGUGCUCUCAGCCAACCAAGCAGCUGGCCCAUGGAACCCUCACGACCAGCGAAUGGGCUGCUAUUUAUAGCUUGUAAACAUCGCUGGACAUGCGGAGUUUGUCCCUCGUCACCACCCGUAGCCAGACUACAGAAACAGCAUCAGAGUGAGUACCUGUUAAAAUGUGAUUCUGUAAAAACUGCAGUUUGACUGAGAACAAAGUGGACCUUAGU